Molecule: ribosomal RNA, 468 nt
Filed under: uncultured bacterium
Lineage: Bacteria
Description: partial 16S ribosomal RNA
Rfam family: Bacterial small subunit ribosomal RNA
Source: RNAcentral
GACGAACGCUGGCGGCGUGCUUAACACAUGCAAGUCGAACGGAAAGGCCCUGCUUUUGUGGGGUGCUCGAGUGGCGAACGGGUGAGUAACACGUGAGUAACCUGCCCUUGACUUUGGGAUAACUUCAGGAAACUGGGGCUAAUACCGGAUAGGAGCUCCUGCUGCAUGGUGGGGGUUGGAAAGUUUCGGCGGUUGGGGAUGGACUCGCGGCUUAUCAGCUUGUUGGUGGGGUAGUGGCUUACCAAGGCUUUGACGGGUAGCCGGCCUGAGAGGGUGACCGGGCACAUUGGGACUGCGAUACGGCCCAGACUCCUACGGGAGGCAGCAGUGGGGAAUAUUGCACAAUGGGCGGAAGCCUGAUGCAGCAACGCCGCGUGCGGGAUGACGGCCUUCGGGUUGUAAACCGCUUUGGCCUGUGACGAAGCGUGAGUGACGGUAAUGGGUAAAGAAGCACCGGCUAACUACGUG